CCUACGGGAGACAGCAGUGGGGAAUAUUGCACAAUGGGGGAAACCCUGACGCAGCAACGCCGCGUGAGUGAUGAAGCCCUUCGGGGUGUAAAGCUCUAUCAGUAGGGAAGAAACAUGACGGUACCUACCUAAGAAGCACCGGCUAACUCCGUACCAGCAGCCGCGGUAAUACGGAGGGUGCAAGCGUUUUCCGGAUUUACUGGGUGUAAAGGGUGCGUAGGUGGCACGUGAAGUCUGAGGUGAAAGGCGGAGGCUCAACUCCCGAAGGGCAUUGGAAACUGGCAAGCUUGAGUGCAGGAGAGGUAAGGGGAAUUCCUGGUGUAGCGGUGAAAUGCGUAGAUAUCAGGAGGAACAUCGGUGGCGAAGGCGGUUUACUGGACCGUAAUUGACACUGAGGCUCGAAAGCGGGGGUAGCAAAUAGGAUUAGAUACCCGAGUAGUC
Molecule: ribosomal RNA, 441 nt
Filed under: uncultured bacterium
Lineage: Bacteria
Description: partial 16S ribosomal RNA
Rfam family: Bacterial small subunit ribosomal RNA
Source: RNAcentral